CUUCUUUUUGGUUAGAUUGAAUCCACAGUGGAAGUGAAAAUACAUAAACAAAGACCAAAUUAACAUUAAAAAAACCAAGAAAAAUAGAAGGAAGCUAGUUUUUGGGCAAGUUAUCUGAAAAGCCUACGCAAGAUAGUUUUUCUCUUUAGUUUUUGCUCAAAUAUUAUGCUUUAGGAUAACAGAAUGUCCAGGCUCUGAGAAAGAUGCUGGAUUCUCAUCCAUACAGCAUCUGGAAUAAUAAAGUCAUUUCUCUGGGAACUUUUUGUGACCCUUUCCUUGAAACUCAACACACCAAUUGCAAAAAUAUAAGCAUAACAACUACAAACCAGCUAAAGAGGAGUACUUUGUUUCCAAAACUUUAUUGACAGUUACAGCAUCUCGUUUCACUUUGGUGAUACAGCAGUCAUUGGUGUAAGACAGUAAGAGCAUCUGAUGGAAGAAAGUAAGUAUCCAGUCAGACGCUUCACCUGCCCUGUGUCACAGUUACAUUGAAAAUAAGAGCUUAAAGUUCUAAGAUUCGCUUGACAAAGAUUCAUGCCUCCUAGUCAAAGCAAGAAAAUGAAUAGAAAAUGCAAAAUACAACAUAAAAAAUAACCCAUGACCUCUCACAUACGUUAUGCCAAGUCUUAGACACAAGUAAACAUUCUACAAUCAAACUUGUGAGAAAAAUAUAAUUGCCAAACAAUUGAUAUAAGGAAGUCCCUUUCUUAUGUAACAUGAGAUAUUCGAGCAGACAAUCAUAUAAAUCAAACAAAUAAUACAAAUGGAAGAAUCAACCAUCAUUCACGCCAUAAAGAAGGUAGAGCAAGCAGAAAAGACCCAUGGCAUAUGCUACGUCUCAACAGAGUGGCACAGCAGGUACUCGCCUGCACCUAUAAAGCUAUGGAAGUCAUGCAAGCAUAUAUGGAAAUAACCAAAAUAUAAAAAAGAUAAAACUUCAAAUGGAGUCAAUAAAUCAUUUGACAUUAAUGCCCACCUUAGUGCAAAUAGAUACCAGUAGAAGACAAAUUUUAGAAAUAACUUGGCGAAUACUUGCCCGUAUGGAAUACCCAGAGUGUAUAUGAAUGGCAUAACCAUCAAGUUCAAUUAAAAACAUGUCAAAAUUGAAAUUAUUCAGCAGUCUAUUUGUAAUAAGUCUUCUACAAAUCGGGUAUAUACAGACACGAACAAAUUUCACUCUGGAACAAUAUGCUAUUGAUGAACUAACCACUAAGCAGUUUCCAUCUGUACAAAUAAUUGUGGAGGAAGGAUUAUUUACAUGCAUGAGAACAAAAGGAAGAAAGCAACUGAACAGGAGCAAAAAGGAGACCAAUAUGUUUCUAAAUAUUUAUGACCAUGACUAGAAAAAGACCUCCUUUUAAGUAGUUGGAGGCUCAUAAAACUGAACAAAACUCUCAGGUAACAGAGGUGAAAGAUCCGUCAACAACUCAUGUCUUCUCCCCCAGGACAAAGAUCUUGUUAGGAACUAUAAGGAAAAAAAAAUAUAUAUCAUAUUCCAAACAUUUAUGCCAAUGAAAACAGAAAGGGAGCACACUGGCUGGAUCACCCCUUUCAAGAGACAGAAUAUCGAACCCACAGACUUGAUAUAGGUAAGAAACCUCAAAGUAGACAUAAGAAAUAAAAACGGAUGACAGCCUACUUGAGAGAUAAGUACUACUCCUAAAAAUGGGUUUCUGCAGCAAGUUUACACAUAACAGAUACCAAUCGAUACAACACAAAACCUUAAUCAAAUUACAUAUGACAAAACUGAAAGGGCAAACAUAAAAUCUUCCUGGUUAAGGUGUACUAGUUACCUUCUUUUAGCAACAGUUGUUAAUGAGCUGUGCAUUUCCGUGAUAACAAGGCAUUAAGAAGAAAGGUUUAGGAAACAGAAUAUUAAGUAUUGGUGUCAUUAAUUCCAAAGGAUUAUCCCAAGUAGAUUGUCUGGUCCUGUUGUUGUAAUAAUAUCUCUAGAAAUUCAGAGGAAUCAUAUUCAACUAGUGUGAGAAACAAAAUAUAGAACACCUCCUAAAGAACACGAUAAACAUAAUGUUGUAGCAAAACCAAGAAGUAAAGUUCAAGAGGGAUGCAAAUUGUUCUAAGAAAUGCUGAUCACGUACUCUGCCACCAUAUUUUCGAUAAGAGUCCAACAUGGACUAACUUAUUGUGAGAAUUAGGUGACAUAUUGCAACUGUCAACAACUAAUAACAUGCCAAAUGAAAUUGUGAUAAGUGACACAAAGCAUUUAAAAUAAUGUGAAAUAUGUCAUUGCAGAAUGUGCAUUAUAUUAUUUUGUCCUUCUCCAUGUUUUUAAAGGCAUUAAUAGAAGAUUCAUCAAGGAAGAAAAAAGCAAUUCCAAGGGUAUCUACACUGUUUUUGUAAAUGCUGUUUCAAUUUACUUGAAAUCAUUCUAAAGCCAACAAGAAUCUUUAGAAAUUCUCAAGGUACUCUAAAAAAUAGCAAUGGCCACUAAAUUUACGAGGAUAUAAUUUGUGGAAGGAUUGAUUUUCAUCUAGUCAGGGAGAGUAAAACUAUCAGUAAGAUGAACAUGUCAUACUAGCAAUCAUGAACGUGGUAUGAAACCUCCUUUGACUUUGGUUAAGCAAAUUAAUACCAACCAAAAUAACCCUCAUUGGCGUUAUUAAGAAAACUAAUAUCUACCAAAAUGAAGCUAAAACAAUAUUAUCCCCAUCAUUAUUGUUUGGAAUUAAAAGAUCACCCAUUCGUUACACCUUUAGGAACUAUGUAGAGAACAAAGCAAGACUAAAUGAGGGAGCCAUAAAACCUUUCUUUCAUAGCCAAGGGCUAAAAAGCUACAGAGAAGGCACUAGAUAAUUUUAAGUCACAGGCAUUAACAGGGCUUACAAGAACCAUAAGGAUUAGUUUUCACACACUACCUGGGCACCAGAAAUUGACCAUUUCACCAAUGCAGUGGACUCAAAAAAUAUGUAUAAAACCAACAAAUAUUAUAUCAAGUUAGUGAUACAUGAAAUGGCAUAAUAAAACAGGCUCAAAGUCAAUGUAUGCAUAUUAGGAAGAAAACCACCCAUUAACCUUGCAGUGUUUGCACCAAAAGUUAUAUGCGACUACAUAACAUAUAUGUGAAUGCAAAUGGAGAAUUGCAAUAUAUAUGCGGCAGCUGCCACAGUAAUAACUUCAGCAAGGUCUAACCACAUAAAGAAAUAAAAUAGUAUCACGCACCAAUGUGAUUAUGAAGUGAGUAAAAAAAAUGCAGAAUAACAACUUUGUCUGGAUUAGACAUAAGAAAAAUAUGUAUCAUUGCCAUCUGUUCAGUACACAUUGCUUUUCAAUUGUAUCAAUGAGAAU
Molecule: long non-coding RNA, 3306 nt
Filed under: Citrus x clementina
Lineage: Eukaryota; Viridiplantae; Streptophyta; Magnoliopsida; Sapindales; Rutaceae
Description: Citrus clementina (C. clementina) long non-coding RNA (CCLE_LNC002968)
Source: RNAcentral